GACGAACGCUGGCGGCGUGCUUAACACAUGCAAGUCGAACGGUGAAACGCCUUCCUUUUUGGUGGGUGUGGAUGAGUGGCGAACGGGUGAGUAACACGUGAGUAACCUGCCCCCUUCUUCUGGAUAACCGCAUGAAAGUGUGGCUAAUACGGGAUAUUCUGGGUCUGUCGCAUGAUGGGUCUGGGAAAGAUAUUGUUUCGGUGGGGGAUGGGCUCGCGGCCUAUCAGCUUGUUGGUGGGGUGAUGGCCUACCAAGGCGGUGACGGGUAGCCGGCCUGAGAGGGUGGACGGUCACACUGGGACUGAGACACGGCCCAGACUCCUACGGGAGGCAGCAGUGGGGAAUAUUGCACAAUGGGCGCAAGCCUGAUGCAGCGACGCCGCGUGAGGGAUGGAGGCCUUCGGGUUGUGAACCUCUUUCGCCAGUGAAGCAGGCCUGCCUCGUUUGUGGGUGGGUUGACGGUAGCUGGAGAAGAAGCGCCGGCUAACUACGUG
RNAcentral lists this ribosomal RNA (494 nucleotides) under uncultured bacterium. RNAcentral describes it as "partial 16S ribosomal RNA". It matches the Rfam family "Bacterial small subunit ribosomal RNA", at positions 28 to 507 of the family's 1533-position model. The record is from RNAcentral.